Molecule: long non-coding RNA, 762 nt
Organism: Oreochromis niloticus (Nile tilapia)
Lineage: Eukaryota; Metazoa; Chordata; Actinopteri; Cichliformes; Cichlidae
Exons: 4
Source: RefSeq, a predicted model, not a curated record
GUGGAUGGUGACACAGGCAGCUGUAGAUGCUAGCUGGCUGCUAGGCUUCACCUGAGCUGCACCUUUGAACCAUGUUUGUGCUGUUGGUGCCUUUUUAAUGAGAUCAUCUAAAAGCGUAGGUAUGGAUUUUAUGAAGAAGGCAUCACCUGAUCAGUAUGAAGAACACAGUGUUUCCUCAACAUAAUAACAUGAAUGAAGCAGAGGAGUUAUUUAGGAAAACCUGCCAUAUAAUGACUCAGAGGCAACACUGCAUCUGACACAGUUCCUGUCUCCUCUCCAUGAAAUGCCACUGUUGGAAACCUGCUGAUGGGCAGCACUAUAGACUGUAUAUAAGAGAUGGGCUAAGGUACUCUGUGUCUCCAUGUCAAAGAGGCCACACCCCUAAUUAUGCAAGCAUUAAGUCUUAAUUUAAACAGGUUUAACAUAGAAGUCUAUGGGGACUGACUCACUCCUGUCUCUGCUGGAUAUUAGAGGAACUGCACGUUCAGUUUCGAGCCUCGAGGUUAAUUUAGGAUAACUUUAAAGGUAUGGUGUGUAAAGGUAGAUUGAACUGAGUUAUGCUUCUUUACUCCUCCAAACUGAAGCCCAUAAACUACGGCAGCUUUUAUAGCACAAACAUGUUUUAGUCAGCUGAGAGAGAUCACAAACAUUAAAUACUGACUGUACGUCGUACUAUACACGGCUGGUGUGUUUCUACUACUGUAUGUGUAAAAGAUACAUUUUUGUUUCACUAUUUCUAAAUAUAUUUCAAUAAUAUCAGCA